RNAcentral lists this ribosomal RNA (253 nucleotides) under uncultured bacterium. RNAcentral describes it as "partial 16S ribosomal RNA". It matches the Rfam family "Bacterial small subunit ribosomal RNA", at positions 524 to 776 of the family's 1533-position model. The record is from RNAcentral.
UACAGAGGUCCCAAGCGUUGUUCGGAUUCACUGGGCGUAAAGGGUGCGUAGGUGGUGAGGUAAGUCGGAUGUGAAAUCUCCGAGCUCAACUCGGAAAUGGCAUUGGAAACUACCUUGCUAGAGGGUUGGAGGGGGGACUGGAAUGCUUGGUGUAGCAGUGAAAUGCGUAGAUAUCAAGCGGAACACCAGUGGCGAAGGCGAGUCCCUGGACAGCUCCUGACACUGAGGCACGAAAGCUAGGGGAGCAAACAGG